Molecule: ribosomal RNA, 372 nt
Filed under: uncultured organism
Description: partial 16S ribosomal RNA
Rfam family: Bacterial small subunit ribosomal RNA
Source: RNAcentral
GUAGGUGGCAAGCGUUGUCCGGAAUUAUUGGGCGUAAAGCGCGCGCAGGCGGUUCUUUAAGUCUGAUGUGAAAGCCCACGGCUCAACCGUGGAGGGUCAUUGGAAACUGGAGAACUUGAGUACAGAAGAGGAAAGCGGAAUUCCACGUGUAGCGGUGAAAUGCGUAGAGAUGUGGAGGAACACCAGUGGCGAAGGCGGCUUUCUGGUCUGUAACUGACGCUGAGGCGCGAAAGCGUGGGGGAGCAAACAGGAUUAGAUACCCUGGUAGUCCACGCCGUAAACGAUGAGUGCUAAGUGUUAGGGGGUUUCCGCCCCUUAGUGCUGCAGCUAACGCAUUAAGCACUCCCGCCUGGGAGUACGGCCGCAAGGCUG